CCCUUAGAUGUUCUGGGCCGCACGCGCGCUACACUGACGAAUGCAACGAGCUUAUAACCUUGGCCAAAAGGUCUGGGUAAUCUCCAAAUUUCGUCGUGAUGGGGAUAGAUUAUUGCAAUUAUUAAUCUUCAACGAGGAAUGCCUAGUAAGCGCAAGUCAUCAGCUUGCGUUGAUUACGUCCCUGCCCUUUGUACACACCGCCCGUCGCUCCUACCGAUUGAAUGGUCCGGUGAAGCGUUCGGACCGUGGCCUUUGGACGGUUCGCCGUCUGUUGGCUGCGGGAAGUUCGUUAAACCUUAUCAUUUAGAGGAAGGAGAAGUCGUAACA
RNAcentral lists this ribosomal RNA (327 nucleotides) under uncultured eukaryote. Its description in RNAcentral is "partial 18S ribosomal RNA". It matches the Rfam family "Eukaryotic small subunit ribosomal RNA", at positions 1470 to 1796 of the family's 1831-position model. The record is from RNAcentral.